UUAGAGUUUGAUCCUGGCUCAGGAUGAACUUCUAGCGGCAGGCUUAACACAUGCAAGUCGAGGGGCAGCAGGGGGUAGCAAUAUCCUGCUGGCGACCGGCGGACGGGUGCGUAACGCGUAUGCGACCUACCCUUAACAGAGGGAUAACCUAAGGAAACUUGGACUAAUACCUCAUAUAAUUAUGUCCUUGCAUGGGGAUAUAAUGAAAGGAUGGAGACAUUGGUUAGGGAUGGGCAUGCGUGACAUUAGCUAGUUGGUGAGGUAACGGCGUCACCAAGGCGACGAUGUCUAGGGGAGCUGAGAGGCUAGACCCCCACACUGGUACUGAGACACGGACCAGACUCCUACGGGAGGCAGCAGUGAGGAAUAUUGGUCAAUGGGCGUAGGCCUGAACCAGCCAAGUAGCGUGCAGGAUGACUGCCCUAUGGGUUGUAAACUGCUUUUAUGCGGGAAUAAAGUCAGGUACGGGUACCUGUUUGCAUGUACCGCAUGAAUAAGGACCGGCUAAUUCCGUGCCAGCAGCCGCGGUAAUACGGAGGAUGCGAGCGUUAUCCGGAUUUAUUGGGUUUAAAGGGUGCGUAGGCGGACUAAUAAGUCAGUGGUGAAAGACACGGGCUCAACCGGUGUAUUGCCAUUGAUACUGAUAGACUAGAGAGUAGUUGGCGCUGGCGGAAUGUGUCAUGUAGCGGUGAAAUGCAUAGAGAUGACACAGAACACCGAUCGCGAAGGCAGCUAGCGAAGCUAUAUCUGACGCUGAGGCACGAAAGCGUGGGGAUCGAACAGGAUUAGAUACCCUGGUAGUCCACGCAGUAAACGAUGAUAACUUGUUUUUGGCGAUAUAGUGUCAGAGACAAAGCGAAAGCGAUAAGUUAUCCACCUGGGGAGUACGAUCGCAAGGUUGAAACUCAAAGGAAUUGACGGGGGCCCGCACAAGCGGAGGAGCAUGUGGUUUAAUUCGAUGAUACGCGAGGAACCUUACCCAGACUCAAAUGCAGAUAGAAUUAUUCAGAGAUGGAUAAGCCCUUCGGGGCUAUUUGCAAGGUGCUGCAUGGUUGUCGUCAGCUCGUGCCGUGAGGUGUCAGGUUAAGUCCCGCAACGAGCGCAACCCUUGUCAUUAGUUGCUACGCGAGAGCACUCUAAUGAGACCGCUACCGACAAGGUGGAGGAAGGUGGGGAUGACGUCAAAUCAUCAUGCCCCUUAUGUCCUGGGCUACACACGUAAUACAAUGGUCGUCAACAGAGGGCAGCAAUACCGUGAGGUGGAGCGAAUCCCUAAACACGAUCUCAGUUCGGAUCGCAGGCUGCAACCCGCCUGCGUGAAGCUGGAAUUGCUAGUAAUCGCGGAUCAGCAUGCCGCGGUGAAUACGUUCCCGGGCCUUGCACACACCGCCCGUCAAG
Molecule: ribosomal RNA, 1398 nt
Filed under: uncultured bacterium
Lineage: Bacteria
Description: bacterial SSU rRNA
Rfam family: Bacterial small subunit ribosomal RNA
Source: RNAcentral